This is a long non-coding RNA of Bos indicus x Bos taurus (hybrid cattle), 257 nucleotides long. The record is from Ensembl. Lineage: Eukaryota; Metazoa; Chordata; Mammalia; Artiodactyla; Bovidae.
AGGCUUUCGGCUAAGCACUUACCUAAUAACACAGAUCUCCAGGUGAUGCCAUUGCACCACCAAGGUGGAGAACCAGUGCCAGUCGCGGCUUUAGUUCGAGAAGCUUCACUACCUCCUCAUGAGGAGGAAGCAAGUCAGUGUCACUGAACUGCGUUCUGUCGCCCUUCACCCCACAGGACUCGGUUCGAGGUGGAUUCUUUACCAGCUGGGCCACAAGGGAUGCCCUGUUCAAGGCUGCUGUCCUCUAAAAGGUAAGC